Molecule: long non-coding RNA, 241 nt
Filed under: Gossypium barbadense (sea-island cotton)
Lineage: Eukaryota; Viridiplantae; Streptophyta; Magnoliopsida; Malvales; Malvaceae
Description: long non-coding RNA (GBAR_LNC000083)
Source: RNAcentral
CAGCUCCUUGGCCUCGACAUCCCAUUGAUCCCAGACUUCUUUCAUUUCUCGAAGGUCAUUCUGGAUUACACUGAUACGGGUAAAAUCCCACAAUUCUGACACGUACCCUUCGGUAAGACUAUCGCCUUUCUUCCGUUGCGUCGUUUCAGCCCAUAUUCGCACAGCCGCAUUAUCCUCUACUUUAUCAACAAACCCCUUUUCCAUGAUAAGCUUUCUACCAAGAAACUGAACGUAAAUCGAC